Non-coding RNA from Pelobates cultripes (western spadefoot toad), 280 nucleotides. Lineage: Eukaryota; Metazoa; Chordata; Amphibia; Anura; Pelobatidae. The record is from the annotation of a GenBank genome assembly.
UGAAAUCGAGUAAGGACUCACAUUUUGCAUGAUAUAGGCAAUUUGUUAAUCUGGCCACAAAGGCCCAAGUUGUCACCUGCAGGAGAGUCACUGUCAACCUCCUCUGAGGAAUAUGGUUCAAACUCCACCAGUAGCACAGACUCCAAGCCUACCCCACAGUAUAUCACAAUAACCCUGCUACAAAAGGAUCUGUAUGUGUAUCUAGGUGUUUGUGUGUCAGUCUGUAUGUGUGUGUGUCUAUGUAUUUACCUGUGUGUCUAUGUAUCUAUCUGUGUGUCUG